RNAcentral lists this ribosomal RNA (246 nucleotides) under uncultured bacterium. RNAcentral's name for it is "partial 16S ribosomal RNA". It matches the Rfam family "Bacterial small subunit ribosomal RNA", at positions 531 to 776 of the family's 1533-position model. The record is from RNAcentral.
GUCUCAAGCGUUGUUCGGAUUCAUUGGGCGUAAAGGGCGCGUAGGCGGCUGGGUAAGUCGGGUGUGAAAUCUCAGGGCUCAACCCUGAAACUGCACUCGAUACUGCUCUGCUUGAGGACUGGAGAGGAGACUGGAAUUCACGGUGUAGCAGUGAAAUGCGUAGAUAUCGUGAGGAAGACCAGUGGCGAAGGCGGGUCUCUGGACAGUUCCUGACGCUGAGGCGCGAAGGCCAGGGGAGCAAACGGG